This 467-nucleotide ribosomal RNA is filed under the name uncultured bacterium. Its description in RNAcentral is "partial 16S ribosomal RNA". It matches the Rfam family "Bacterial small subunit ribosomal RNA", at positions 28 to 506 of the family's 1533-position model. The record is from RNAcentral.
GACGAACGCUGGCGGCGUGCUUAACACAUGCAAGUCGAACGGAAAGGCCCUGCUUUUGUGGGGUGCUCGAGUGGCGAACGGGUGAGUAACACGUGAGUAACCUGCCCUUGACUUUGGGAUAACUUCAGGAAACUGGGGCUAAUACCGGAUAGGAGCUCCUGCUGCAUGGUGGGGGUUGGAAAGUUUCGGCGGUUGGGGAUGGACUCGCGGCUUAUCAGCUUGUUGGUGGGGUAGUGGCUUACCAAGGCUUUGACGGGUAGCCGGCCUGAGAGGGUGACCGGCCACUUGGGGCCGGGGAUACGCCCCAGCCCCCUCGGGGGGGCAGCGGGGGGAAAUUUGGCAAAAGGGGCGGAAGCCUGAUGCAGCAACCCCGCGGGGGGGAGGACGGCUUUCGGGUGGAAACCCGCUUUCGCCUGGGACGAAGCGUGGUGGAGGGUAAUGGGAAAAGAAGCACCGGCUAACUACGG